Cylas formicarius (sweet potato weevil) is the source of this 1380-nucleotide long non-coding RNA. RefSeq lists it as uncharacterized. Lineage: Eukaryota; Metazoa; Arthropoda; Insecta; Coleoptera; Brentidae. The transcript is spliced from 3 exons. The record is from RefSeq and is a predicted model, not a curated record.
AUGUUACGUCAUUACAAUAUUGACGUCAGACGAAUGGCUAGUUGGAGAAUCCGUCACAAAAUAUAAAAUGGGUUCACAACCCUAACCUAAAAAAUGGGCGUCCAUAGACUAAACACCAAACGUUAUCGAUGAACGAAAAUCAAAAUGAUACUUGGUUAAUUAUUACUUCAUUUGACAGUGACAACAAGAAACGAUAGCUUAACUAUCCACUUUUUCUAAGCACCGCGUUGAUGUUAUUAACGCAUGACGUAUUACGGUAAACUGAAUCUUAAUCUGAUUUGAUAUUAAAUAUUUUUAGAAAUGUUAAUCAAUCAACCUUAUGUUGUUCGUUCAUAGUAAAAUAUAAUUAUUAUAGAAUUAAAACUUCUUUUAUAACUGAUGUAUUACUUUUGCAGACCUCUAUGUAACCAAAAACAAUGCAUGGCAAUGUGUGUGUCUGUGUGUAAGUGCAAUAAUAUAGUUGCAAGAAUCAUUUGCCAGUCGUAACUUGUAAAAGAAUCAAUUGCAUAAGGAUUGCUUAUAAUACUUCCCGGGUCCCCAGCCAUCCCAUUUUCAAUAGGUUCCGUCACGAGGCAAAGCUGCAUAUAUGUGCCAAAUAUGAAGUCGAUUACUUCAAUUUUCGGACACUUAUCGUAUUUCAUAGCAAGGUCCAAAAAACAAUAGAAAAUUACGAAAAAAAGAUGGAUACCGGCAUCGGAUCAGGGCCAUUUCUUACAAGCUUAUGUGCCUCGUGGAGGGUUAAAAAGGAGGCGAAUUUCAAUUUUCUAGCUCCAACGGUUCGAAAGUUAUUCAGGAAAAACCAAAAGACGAGAACGGAGAACGGACAAACAGACAAACAAAAUUUUUUUUUCGACGGUGAUUAUUUCUGUACCAACGGCGAUCCCAUAGGACUUACCGUUACCGAGAUAUAAAAUUUUUAUACGAGCGCAGAUACUUUCGAAAAAUUCGAUUUCAUCGAUUUUCGAAAGUAACCAGAGCGCUUUGCUAAUACAAUCAUACCAGAUAGACGAACAUUUUCAAUUGUAUAUAGAAGGUUGACUGAAACAGAUAUUUUCUCAAAAGUUAAGACGCAAAAAUCGGCCCCCAAUUAUUCCAUUCCAUAAGAAGACACCAUGCGUACACUUACAUUAGAAAAAUUCUAUGCUAGCACUAGUUCAGUCUAGAAGUUAGACAUUGUGAUAUACGUAUUUAAACAAAUCCAGAAAAUUAUUUCUACUAUUUUUAUUAUUUCAUACCAAAUUUUGUAUACAAAUGUACCCUUAUUUGUAUAUUCCUUUUGAGUUUGGUUUUUUCUGACGUAUAAAAUAUUCGCUAAAUCUAAUUAAACGGCCGGAAGUAUAGUUAUUGUUUCCCAUAACCGAUCGACGAAAUUGCCGGUGG